UCGUCGUCGUCGCCCUCUUGGGCCUGGUCGAGCUUCAUCUUCGCCCCUUUGGCCUGGCCCAUAUUCGUUCUCCACUUCCUUCCGAGCGAGGAGGCUGAGGUACCGCCACCCCGCCACCGCUCCCUCUCGCAGUAAAGGCCGGGGGAGGCCGGGGGAGGCGAGUUGGCGUUCCUCUACGCGGACUGCGGCGGUGCUGCCUUGGUUCCAGAAGAGUGGUUUCCGGCUACCCACGGCGGACGAGAUCGCCGCGUCGUUGUGGCGCGAUCUCCUCCACGGUGACGGCAUCGCAGGGGGCGGAUACAUGUCGCGUAGUUGUGGAUCGAUCUCCUCCACGGCGACGACGACACAAAAGGCGGAUACGAGAGAUGUUGUGGCGAGCGACCGAGAUAUCGCAGCCACCAAAAUCACUACGACCACCGUCCAUGGCAGAGGAUGAGCAGGAUGGGGCCUGGGCGCACGAGAUCCCUCCGACCCUGCUGCCAAGAUCCCUCCGAGACCACGUCGACCGGAUCCGGUACUCACAUCACCCAGAUCUGUCCGAAUUUACCAUGCCUGCUUGUAGGUUUGUGUGUGAUCUUUACUGCGUCAUUUUUGCACUUUCGCAUCACGGAAUUACGGCCGUACUCACAUCACCCAGAUCUCAGGCACCAUAUUUCAGUUCUUAAGAUGCAAUUCUAAAUGACGUCGAGGGGCAGUAGCCUGAGAUUGAAGAAAUCAGGGCAGCAGCCUGAGCACGAACCGGAGCAGCAGCUGCAGUUCCGCUUUCCUCUCAACUCGCCUCCUCCUGUCGCCAUUCCGUCCGAUUAUGCCUCCACCUGUGAGACGGCGAGAAGCAAAGGGAAGGGCGCCAGUCGUGGCAGCGUGUCGGAGGGCCGACCAGUGGUACAGAGGACAGGCAUCAUGGUACUCCUCGCCCUUAGGCUUUCACCGACGUGUACGAGGUCCAUCCUCACUAUCUUCUGUUGCUCUUCACAUCAUACUAUUCAAUCGAGAAUCCAUUUUCUUUGAUUGAGAUCUUUAGCUGCCUGGUUGUGUGGACUCAUGUUUGGAUCUAUUUGUUCAUCACACUAGGAAAAAUAUACCACUCUAACGUCACAGAGUAUGAUUGAAUUAGUUGCCAGAUUUAUUUCUCAGUUUUGUUGGAGGAGUGAUAUGUAUAAUAUUUUGGUCACUGUACUGGUUAAUACUCCACAUAUACCAUCACACCUUUUUUUUUGCCUCAAGCAACACGAUUAAAAAUUAUGUAUGUGCUCUGAGUAAAAAUCAUGAGAUUGACAAACUAAUCUAUUGCCAGAAUUGUAAUAAAGCUCCGGUAGGCUCUAUCAAGGUAGGGAUUGUACUCUCAUUUUCUUAUUUGUGGUAAAAAAAUAUGACAAUUUAAUUGUUCGGGAAGAAUUUCAUAUAAGCUACUUUCAGUACUUCGGGCCAUUAGCUCAGACAUAACACUAUAUAUGACUUUCCUUUGAUGUUGCUAAUGAGGUAGUCUUAUCUUGGGAAUAUUUCAUGUGUUAAUUAAUAAAACAUAAUACUAUCUAGGCUUAUCCCUAGAAAAGCUUUUUCAGGAGCCCAUUUGCUGAUCUGGAGAUGGCUUGGGCCACUCACACCAAAAAGAGUCGUCUAGGCAGCCUAUCUGCAGAUAUGGACAAGAUGAUCUAGGUUAUUAUUGUGACAAAGAUAUCGUUAAGACUGCAUGAGUAGCCAAGACGCUUUGGGUUCAAAUGUCUCUCCUGAAACCAUUCUUUGUGCCGGAAAUGGCUCUGUGUCCCAGGCUAAUGGUGCUGAGCCCCUGGAAUGAGCCUUAGCCAAUGGGUGUUCUGAAUUUCUGACAAACAUAUCAGUCCUUCCGUAGAUGAGGUCAUAUCUGAGAAGACUGAUGAUGUUUCAGAGAAAAAAAAUCGAAUGCACUGACACUCAAGGUUGAACUUGGCUAUAUCACGAGGGAAAAGAUUCCAAUGGGAAUUGUUAAAAGAGAGGAAAGAGUUGACUUAACCUACAGAAACACGCUCAGUCCUGACAUGAUAUAGACGAUCCAAAUUAUUGGUGGGAUGUGCCUAAGUCUGUCGCACCUGUUAACAGGAAUUUGUUGUUGCUAUCAACAUUCUCGGGAUUGAUAAAGCUGUACCGAAAAGAAUACUGGAGCUUAUGAACAUGGAGAAACUCACCAGGGAAAAUGUUGCCACUCAUCUGCAGGAUCUCAUACACAGAGAAUAUAUCAACUGAAGGACUUGUUGUGGAGAUUAUGUCAAACAGAUCAAAUUAAGUUCAUUAUGUGGAUGCCAAAGGAUCACGAAGGAGCGUGUUAUUGAAACAUCGAGCAGUGACUUUCAUCAUCAAGGCUGCAAUGCUGAAGGCACUCAACUCAAAAUGACAGGGGGGGAGGAAUGUGUGGAGGACGUUGAGGGACUGGCAGGUGGCUUUAUACGCGUUCAUAGUUUUGAUGACGAUCAAGGUGAUGCCCUUGUAUGUCUACGUGCUAAGAUAUUGCCUUGGCCUUGUUACUGUUUUUAGUGGUAUAUGUGGGCUUGUAUUGCUCUGUAUUGGGUCAGUUAAGAGUCUUUCACUACCUAAAAUGUUCUUCUGAUCUGGAUUACUCUUAAAUCUAGAAAUGGCUACUUUCAAAUUUUAACUGUCCUAAUGAGUAAAUCCUAUUAAGUGUCCCAAAUACAUGGUUGUUAUAAUUUUCUUCUAAAACAGUUUCGAUAAUAGAUUGACCUCCACAUGUGAGAGGAUCAAAAUUUCACAUAAUAUCAUAAAGGCUAGGCUCACAAUAGGUAAGCUUUUAAUUAUUCUUUUGUGAUGUUUCUUUCAUGUUCAAUGCAGAUAUUUGGUGCCUAUGUUUUCAAAGGUCGGACUAUUAAUAUUUUUCAAUGAUGCGCAUGCCUGCCAAGUUUAGUUUAAGCAAGUAAAUGUAUGCUUGAAUAUUGAUAGUGCAAUGGUUGAUUAUUUACCAAUUCAAUUUCUAUUUUUCACCA
Lolium rigidum is the source of this 2972-nucleotide RNA transcript. RefSeq lists it as uncharacterized. The transcript is spliced from 6 exons. The record is from RefSeq and is a predicted model, not a curated record. Lineage: Eukaryota; Viridiplantae; Streptophyta; Magnoliopsida; Poales; Poaceae.